GGACUACUGGGGUUUCUAAUCCUGUUCGAUCCCCACGCUUUCGUGCCUCAGCGUCAAUAUCGGCCCGGCGAGCUGCCUUCGCAAUCGGCGUUCUGCGACAUAUCUAAGCAUUUCACCGCUACAUGUCGCAUUCCGCCCGCCUCGACCGAAUCCAAGGCGCCCAGUAUCAACGGCCGUUCGAAGGUUGAGCCCCCGCAUUUCACCGCUGACUUAAGCGCCCGCCUACGCACCCUUUAAACCCAGUAAAUCCGGAUAACGCUCGGAUCCUCCGUAUUACCGCGGCUGCUGACAC
RNAcentral lists this unclassified non-coding RNA (292 nucleotides) under uncultured Rikenellaceae bacterium. RNAcentral's name for it is "contains 16S-23S intergenic spacer region". Lineage: Bacteria; Pseudomonadati; Bacteroidota; Bacteroidia; Bacteroidales; Rikenellaceae. The record is from RNAcentral.